This 2495-nucleotide long non-coding RNA is filed under the name Solanum lycopersicum (tomato). RNAcentral describes it as "long non-coding RNA (SLYC_LNC000793)". Lineage: Eukaryota; Viridiplantae; Streptophyta; Magnoliopsida; Solanales; Solanaceae. The record is from RNAcentral.
GGGAAUAAAACGAAGUCCACGAGGACUUGGAUGGAUUUUUACAUGCAAACAAAGAAUAAUAAAGUGAAUAAUAAAUCUUGAUUCAAGGUGAGAGGAUGUCAAGUAGAGAAAGCAUAUAUGUUACUAUCCUUUAAUGCUAACACCGUAGAAAAAGACUACAAGGAUCAACUAAUGACUAAAUGAUUUUAAAAAAUCACGUAACCUAAUAAAAACCGACAAUGAGUAUCAAGAGAAUAAAUAAAUUUUCCAGCCAUGGAUAACAAACGGCAAGGGGACUAAAGCAUACUCUUCAAAGCUAGAAAAAUUUAAAUGAAAAUGGCAAAUUAUCAAAGAAAAAUUGCAAUUAUGAUCUUCACAUUUAGAGCUAAGAUCAGAUUCCUUGUUAACUGCUAACCCAACAUAAUAUCCAGAAGCCAACAAACCAUUUGAGCAAAUUAGUCAAUAGAUCAAAGAUUCGCAACAUCGAACAACAUGCAGGGGACAUCAAAUGAACAUAACUACCGACCGAAUCAAGGGACACAUGACUACAUAUGCUAAGACGCUUCACACAAUAAAGAAAACACCAAAGCGUAGUGGUAGCUUAGGCAGUUAAGGCUAUUAGUGAUUAAAUGGACAAGGAACUGGGCAUAUUUAUGCUGACAAAAGCAGACCCUUAUGAUUGAUAUCAUUAAGCUUAAAAUGCAAUAAAUAUUUGGACAAAGACAUUGAGGAAACUGUGUAUCAAUAAAAAAACGCUUGAGUAUUUGAACAGAAAAUUUCAGCUGACCAGAUCAGUAAAAUGUUCCUAUUUUUGCAGAAAAUUUCAGACAUGGAUAAGGGAAGGUUUUUAGCGUUUUUUUUUUCACCACUUCAAGUGAAGGGAGAAAGUAGGCAUAGACAUGCAGAGAGACUACAUCAAGCUUCAGGACAAGAUUCACAUACCAAAUCACACAUUUGACAUCAAGCGAGAAAGAAUUAAAACUAAAUAUUAUCACGUCAUUACAAACGGAGAUAGACUAAGAUGAGUUGAACAUUUUGAGAAAUAAACCAAAUGCAAUCAUCAAAAUCUAGAAAUAAGCCAAAGGUUAACAAUUUUAAAGCUAGAAAACCUUUUCAAACACAUGUACACCAAGCAAAGAGAAAUAUACUUCUAUUUAGACUCCAAAACUAAUUAACCAACAGUCCAGUACUAAAUUUUCUGCAGUAGUAACAAACCAAAGAUCAAAAGAUCACAUCGAAAACAAAAUGUUUGCCAAAAGGCUAAGUAUGACUUAUUUGGAAAACGAACAUGCAAGAUGGCAAAGGAAACUCAAACCAGACAAAACUAAUAAGGCAAAAAACUCGAUAAGUGAGACAGUAGAGCUUGAAUAAAGUCUUAAGAACACAACAAUUGAUCAUGUAAUCUCAAUUGAAUGACGACAAUGGCAGUCAAACACAAUAGCCAUUUCAACAUAGAGAUACUUCAUUCGAGUGACUAGAAUAGAGAAUGAUAUAUUCGACAAAAUGAGAUAAGUUUAUUACCUCUUAUAGUGCAGCGAUUUUGGGAUGGUUGAUGAGUUCAGAGAGACACUUCCACUAACACAAAACUUGAACGUGAAUGCUCAAUCGGAUCCUACAAUGAAACUCAAAAAUGCGAAAAAGAGAGCCUCUACAAUAUGUUCUAUGAAGGAUUAUGGCGUUGGAGUUUUCUCUCUACUUUGUUCGAGAAAAAAAAAUGUCCAACCAAAAAGAAAAUAUCUAAUAACUUGCCUUUUUCAAAAAUUUCUCCCUCUUCCUCCUCCGUUUUUGUUUUUAGAAUUAUCAGGACUAAAAUUUUCUCUCCCUUCUCCAAAAAAUCUCCUCCUCAGCAGAAGUUCAAAAGAAAAUUUAUAUAGGAACGAAAACAGGGUUUAGAAGGGGAAGAGGUGAGGGUAGAAUUAGGUAAGGCCAAGAACCAAUUUAAAUUUUGAAAACCCCAAAUCCUUUUACCAUUUCAGGAUGAAUACUUUUUCUGACGAUUCCAAACCAUUCCGAAACGGGAAAGUAGAAUGGACGACUUGGACUCAACUUCUAUGUCCUUGGCUUCGACGUGUCUUAAUCUCAUGCCACCAGAGGACAAAGGCGUGCUCCUUUUGCUGCUUGGGUCGUACGAAAUGGAAAGGAGCGGGAGGAAGAAAACAAAAAAUCGCAGUGUACUGACCUUUUUAUCCUUGCUCUUCCGUUGUACUCGCUUUCAUUGUUCACGUGUGGUACGCAUCGACACUUUCCGGGUUGUCUCGCUGCACGAGGCGUCGUUCCUCCUCCGUUCGCACCAUUUGGGACUGCUGUUGGUGUCACACUUUUUAAAUUUCUCUUUGGAAUUGGAAAAUAGGUUGGGUCAGGGCAAAUAAGGUGCGAUGGAAUUUGGGUAAUUAAAUGGAAAAAUUACUUAACUAUAUUCCUUUAAUUAUCUUAAGAAUCAUUUAUCUCUACUUAUUAUAAAAUUUUCAAAAAUUUCUUAUUCUCCCCAAUUAAAAAAAUAUGAAAGAUAAUUCUCA